UACGUAGGGUGCAAGCGUUAAUCGGAAUGACUGGGCGUAAGGGGGCGCAGGCGGUCUGUUAAGACAGAGGGGAAAUCCCCGGGCUUAACCUGGGAAUGGCCUAUGUGACUGGCAGGCUAGAGGAUGGCAGAGGGAGGCGGAAUUCCACGUGUAGCAGUGAAAUGCGUAGAGAUGUGGAGGAACACCGAUGGCGUAGGCAGCCUCCUGGGCCAAUCCUGACGCUCAGGCACGAAAGCGUGGGGAUCAAACAGG
This 252-nucleotide ribosomal RNA is filed under the name uncultured bacterium. Its description in RNAcentral is "partial 16S ribosomal RNA". It matches the Rfam family "Bacterial small subunit ribosomal RNA", at positions 524 to 776 of the family's 1533-position model. The record is from RNAcentral.